GUAAUACCAGCUUGUCAAAAACUGAUAUCGUCAGAUCUCAGAAGCUAAACAGGGCUGGGUCUGGUUAGUACUUGGAUGGGAGACUGUAGAGAAUACCAGGUGC
RNAcentral lists this ribosomal RNA (103 nucleotides) under Periophthalmus magnuspinnatus. The record is from RNAcentral. Lineage: Eukaryota; Metazoa; Chordata; Actinopteri; Gobiiformes; Gobiidae.